RNAcentral lists this ribosomal RNA (1972 nucleotides) under human gut metagenome. Its description in RNAcentral is "bacterial LSU rRNA". It matches the Rfam family "Bacterial large subunit ribosomal RNA", at positions 1 to 1984 of the family's 2925-position model. The record is from RNAcentral.
UUAAGUGAACAAGGGCAUACGGCGGAUGCCUUGGCGCCAAGAGCCGAUGAAGGACGCGGUAAGCUGCGAAAAGGCAUGGGUAGGAGCAAGCAUCCUGUGAUCCAUGCAUAUCCGAAUGGGGCAACCCACCAUCAGUCAUGUGAUGGUACGAAAGAGGCAGACCUGGGGAACUGAAACAUCUAAGUACCCAGAGGAAAAGUAAUCAAUUGAGAUUCCCUAAGUAGCGGCGAGCGAAAGGGGAAGAGCCCAAACCAGAUAACUUCGGUUGUCUGGGGUUGAGGACCGGCAAAAAGAGGAAACUUCUUAGUCGAAUGGUUUGGAAAGGCCAUGCACAGAAGGUAAAACACCUGUAGGCGAAAAGAAGUCAAUCGGGCUGGUAUCCAGAGUACUGCGAGACACGUGAAACCUUGCAGGAAGCAGGGGGGACCACCCUCCAAGGCAAAAUACUACUUGGCGACCGAUAGCGCAUAGUACCGUGAGGGAAAGGUGAAAAGAACCCCGGGAGGGGAGUGAAAUAGAACCUGAAACCGUAUGUCUACAAGCAGUCGAAGCACCUUAAGAGUGCGACGGCGUGCCUAUUGAAGAAUGAACCGGCGAGUUACAUUAUGUUGCGAGGUUAAGUGGGAGACACGGAGCCGAAGCGAAAGCGAGUCUUAAUAGGGCGACUAGUAACAUGGUGUAGACCCGAAACCGCAGUGAUCUAUCCAUGGUCAGGUUGAAGCGCAGGUAAAAUUGCGUGGAGGACCGAACCAGUGAGCGUUGAAAAGCUUUUGGAUGAGAUGUGGGUAGGGGUGAAAUUCCAAUCGAACGCGGAGAUAGCUGGUUCUCCCCGAAAUAGCUUUAGGGCUAGCCUCAGGGAAGAUUAUAGACGGUAGAGCACUGAUCUGGCAAGGGGGCGUAAAGCCUACCGACCCUAGUCAAACUUCGAAUGGCUAUAAUUAAGACCCUGGGAGUCAGACUGCGAGUGAUAAGACCCGUAGUCAAGAGGGAAACAGCCCAGACCGCCGACUAAGGUCCCCAAUGCUGUACUAAGUGGAAAAGGAUGUAAGACUUCAUAAACAACCAGGAUGUUGGCUUAGAAGCAGCCACCAUUAAAAGAGUGCGUAAUAGCUCACUGGUCGAGAGGCCUUGCGCCGAAGAUGUCCGGGGCUCAAGUACAGAACCGAAGUCGCGGCAGGAUUAUAUAAUUCUGGGUAGGGGAGCGUUGUAUAUCCGACUGAAGGUGUACCGGAAGGAGCGCUGGAGGAUAUACAAGAGAGAAUGCCGGUAUGAGUAGCGAAAAGAACAGUGAGAAUCUGUUCCACCGAAAGCCUAAGGUUUCCUGAGCAACGCUCGUCGACUCAGGGUAAGUCGGGACCUAAGCCGAGGCAAAAAGCAUAGGCGAUGGACAACAGGUUAAUAUUCCUGUACCGCUUCAAAUCGUUUGAGCAAUGGAGUGACACAGAAGGUAGCUUGAGCACGCGAAUGGAUGUGCGUGUCGAAGGUGGUAGGUUGCAGUAUAGGCAAAUCCGUACUGUAUAAGACCGAGAACUGAUAGAUAGACGAUACUUCGGUAAAGUCAAAUUCAAGUGAGCCAUGCUGUCGAGAAAAGCUUCUAGUGAGAGAUGAGGCGCCCGUACCGAAACCGACACAGGUAGGCGGGGAGAGAAUCCUAAGGUGCGCGGGACAACCCUCGUUAAGGAACUCGGCAAAUUGUAUCCGUAACUUAGGGAUAAGGAUAGCCGGAGGAUGUGAAGGGAUUUACUUCUGGAGCGUCAGCCGGUGGCACAAGAGAGGCCCAAGCGACUGUUUAGCACAAACACAGGUGCCUGCAAAAGAGAAAUCUGACGUAUAGGUGCUGACACCUGCCCGGUGCUGGAAGGUUAAGAGGAGGGCUUAGAGGCAACUCGAAGGCUUGAAUUGAAGCCCCAGUAAACGGCGGCCGUAACUAUAACGGUCCUAAGGUAGCGAAAUUCCUUGUCGGGUAAGUUCC